AAGGUGGGUGGAUCGCCCGAGGUCAGAAGUUCAGCACCAGCCUGGCCAACAUGGUGAGACCCCGUCUCUACUAAAAAUAUAAAAACUAGCCAGGUGUGGUGCACACCUAUAAUCCCAGCUACUCGGGAGGCUGAGGGAGGAGAAUGGCUUGAACCAGGGAGGUGGAGGUUGCAGUGAGCCGAGAUGGCACCACUGCACUCCAACUUGGGUGACGGAGCAAGACUCUGUCUGAAAAAAAAAAAAAAAGAAAAGAGAAGAGAAGAAAUGCAGAUACAGACACACUGUGCACUGCAGUUGAAGAUCCAGGGAGCAGGUGAUACAAAGGGGGAUUCAUGGAAUAUAUGGCCAUCGCAGCAGGAUCUUUCCUGCUAGGCAAACAGUCAUGUCCGAGCAAGCAAGCAAGCAUUAAUGGCAGAGCUCAAAGUUGAGUGGAAAGUUUUGAUGCCGUGUCAGGAAACCGAGGCCAAAACUAAUGUGAAUGGACUGAAUCCUGAUGGAAUUGGGGAAAAGAGUGUCGAUAAAAGGUGUGACUCAAGCUCUCCUGGGGAUGCAGCAGGCUCAAUGCCAGGUGCUUUUUCAGGCCCAUCAGCUGUUGAAAUUGAGGGUUGCUAUAUCUUUCUGGACCCAGUCUUUUUUUUUUUUUUUUUUUUUUUUGAGACUGAGUCUCUGUUACCCAGACUGGAGACUGGAGUGCAGUGGCACGAUCUCAGCACACCGCAACCUCCACCUCCUGGGUUCAAGCAACUCUCCUGACUCAGCCUCCCAAGUAGCUGGGACUACAGGCACGCACCAACACACUUGGAUGAUUUUUGUAUUUUUUUAGUAGAGACGGAGUUUCACCAUAUUGGCCAGGCUGGUCUUCAACUCCUGACCAUAGUGAUUCUCCUGCUUUGGCCUCCCAAAGUGUGGGAUUACAAGUGUGGGCCACUGUGCCUGGCCUCUGGACCCAGUCUUAAUCCCUGUUGUAUACCCUCAGUACUUAGCACAGUGCCUGAAACAUAGUGUUACUAAGGCUCCUGCCUCACUGUGAGUCUCCUUCACCAGUGUGCAUGGGAAGGAAAUAGGAGCCAGAUAUCCUAGGUUUAAGAGCUUGUUCUAAAUAAUGGCAUUUGCAGCAACCUGGAUGGAAUUGAAGACCAUUAUUUCCAAGUGAAGUAACUCAGGAAUGGAAAACAAAAUACUGCAUGUUCUCCACUCAUAGGUGGGAGCUAAACUAUGAGGAUGCAAAGGCAAAGAAUGAUACAAUGGAAAGGGUGGGAGGAGGGUGAGGGAUAAAAGACUACCCAUUAGGUACAGUGUACACUUCUCAGGUGAUGGGUGCACCAAAAUCUUAGAGGUCACCACUGAAGAAUUCAUCCAUGCAACAAAACACAACCUGUUUCCCCAAAAGCUACUGAAAUUUAAAAAAAAAAAAAAAAAAAAAA
RNAcentral lists this long non-coding RNA (1424 nucleotides) under Macaca fascicularis (crab-eating macaque). RNAcentral describes it as "lncRNA (ENSMFAG00000058624.1)". The record is from RNAcentral. Lineage: Eukaryota; Metazoa; Chordata; Mammalia; Primates; Cercopithecidae.